Molecule: ribosomal RNA, 1292 nt
Filed under: uncultured bacterium
Lineage: Bacteria
Description: bacterial SSU rRNA
Rfam family: Bacterial small subunit ribosomal RNA
Source: RNAcentral
UUUAGUGGCGGACUGGUGAGUAACACGUAAGCAACCUGCCUGUUAGAGGGGAAUAACAACGAGAAAUCGUUGCUAAUACCGCAUAUGCCAUAAGGACCACAUGGUCCUAGUGGGAAAGGAGCAAUCCGCUAACAGAUGGGCUUGCGUCUGAUUAGAUAGUUGGUGGGGUAACGGCCUACCAAGUCGACGAUCAGUAGCCGGACUGAGAGGUUCAACGGCCACAUUGGGACUGAGAUACGGCCCAGACUCCUACGGGAGGCAGCAGUCGGGAAUAUUGCGCAAUGGAGGAAACUCUGACGCAGUGACGCCGCGUAUAGGAAGAAGGUUUUCGGAUUGUAAACUAUUGCCGAUAGGGAAGAUAAAAGACUGUACCUAUCAAGAAAGCUCCGGCUAACUACGUGCCAGCAGCCGCGGUAAUACGUAGGGAGCAAGCGUUAUCCGGAUUUAUUGGGUGUAAAGGGUGCGUAGACGGGAAAUUAAGUUAGUUGUGAAAUCCCUCGGCUCAACUGAGGAACUGCAACUAAAACUGAUUUUCUUGAGUGCAGGAGAGGAAAGUGGAAUUCCUAGUGUAGCGGUGAAAUGCGUAGAUAUUAGGAGGAACACCAGUGGCGAAGGCGACUUUCUGGACUGCAACUGACGUUGAGGCACGAAAGUGUGGGGAGCAAACAGGAUUAGAUACCCUGGUAGUCCACACUGUAAACGAUGGAUACUAGGUGUAGGAGGUAUUAAGCCUUCUGUGCCGUCGCAAACGCAGUAAGUAUCCCACCUGGGGAGUACGACCGCAAGGUUGAAACUCAAAGGAAUUGACGGGGGCCCGCACAAGCAGUGGAGUAUGUGGUUUAAUUCGAAGCAACGCGAAGAACCUUACCAGGGCUUGACAUAUACAGGAAUAACUAAGAGAUUAGUUAGCUCUUCGGAGUCUGUAUACAGGUGGUGCAUGGUUGUCGUCAGCUCGUGUCGUGAGAUGUUGGGUUAAGUCCCGCAACGAGCGCAACCCCUGUUUCUAGUUGCCAGCAUGUAAAGAUGGGAACUCUAGAGAGACUGCCGUUGAUAAAACGGAGGAAGGUGGGGACGACGUCAAAUCAUCAUGCCCUUUAUGUCCUGGGCUACACACGUACUACAAUGGCUAUAACAAAGGGAAGCGAAAGAGCGAUCUGAAGCGAAACUCAAAAAAGUAGUCACAGUUCGGAUUGUAGGCUGAAAUUCGCCUACAUGAAGCUGGAAUUGCUAGUAAUGGCAGGUCAGCAUACUGCCGUGAAUACGUUCCCGGGCCUUGCACACACCGCCCGUCA